UACGGGGGGGGCAAGCGUUGUUCGGAAUUAUUGGGCGUAAAGAGCUCGUAGGCGGCUUGUCACGUCGGGUGUGAAAGCCCGGGGCUUAACCCCGGGUCUGCAUUCGAUACGGGCAGGCUAGAGUGUGGUAGGGGAGAUCGGAAUUCCUGGUGUAGCGGUGAAAUGCGCAGAUAUCAGGAGGAACACCGGUGGCGAAGGCGGAUCUCUGGGCCAUUACUGACGCUGAGGAGCGAAAGCGUGGGGAGCGAACAGG
This 253-nucleotide ribosomal RNA is filed under the name uncultured bacterium. RNAcentral's name for it is "partial 16S ribosomal RNA". It matches the Rfam family "Bacterial small subunit ribosomal RNA", at positions 524 to 776 of the family's 1533-position model. The record is from RNAcentral.